AUACGGAGGGUGCAAGCGUUAUCCGGAUUCAUUGGGUUUAAAGGGUGCGCAGGCGGAAUGAUAAGUCAGUGGUGAAAUCCUACAGCUUAACUGUAGAACUGCCAUUGAUACUGUCAUUCUUGAGUACACUUGAAGUGGGCGGAAUGUAUCAUGUAGCGGUGAAAUGCAUAGACAUGAUACAGAACUCCGAUAGCGAAGGCAGCUCACUAAAUUGUAACUGACGCUCAGGCACGAAAGCGUGGGGAGCAAACAGGAUUAGAAACCCCAGUAGUCC
This 274-nucleotide ribosomal RNA is filed under the name uncultured bacterium. RNAcentral describes it as "partial 16S ribosomal RNA". It matches the Rfam family "Bacterial small subunit ribosomal RNA", at positions 523 to 796 of the family's 1533-position model. The record is from RNAcentral.